RNAcentral lists this ribosomal RNA (403 nucleotides) under uncultured bacterium. RNAcentral describes it as "bacterial SSU rRNA". It matches the Rfam family "Bacterial small subunit ribosomal RNA", at positions 355 to 775 of the family's 1533-position model. The record is from RNAcentral.
UAGGGAAUAUUAGUAAUGGGCGCAAGCCUGAACUAGCAACGCCGCGUGUGCGAAGAAGGCCUUCGGGUUGUAAAGCACUUUUUGAGAGGAUGGGGAAGGACGGUACUCUCAGAAUAAGUCUCGGCUAACUACGUGCCAGCAGCCGCGGUAACACGUAGGAGGCGAACGUUAUCCGGAUUUACUGGGCGUAAAGCGCGUGUAGGUGGUUUGGUAAGUAGGGCGUGAAAGCUCCUGGCUCAACUGGGAGAGGCCGUUCUAAACUGCCGAACUAGAGGAUGGUAGAGGGAGGUGGAAUUCCGGGUGUAGCGGUGGAGUGCGCAGAUAUCCGGAGGAACACCAGUGGCGAAAGCGGCCUCCUGGACCAUUCCUGACACUCAGACGCGAAAGCUAGGGUAGCAAACGG